This 389-nucleotide ribosomal RNA is filed under the name Gymnodiniaceae sp. RNAcentral describes it as "partial small subunit ribosomal RNA". It matches the Rfam family "Eukaryotic small subunit ribosomal RNA", at positions 582 to 975 of the family's 1831-position model. The record is from RNAcentral. Lineage: Eukaryota; Dinophyceae; Gymnodiniales; Gymnodiniaceae.
AUUCCAGCUCCGAUAGCUUAUAUUAAAAUUGUUGCAGCUAAAAACCUCGUAGUUGGAUCUCUGCUGAGGGCAACCGGUCCGUCCUCUGGGUGAAUAUCUGGCUCGGCCUUGGCAUCUUCUUGGGGAACGUAACUGCACUUGAGUGUGGGGUGCGGUAUCCAAGCGUUUUACUCUGAAGAAAUUAGAGUGUUUCAAGCAGGCGCACGCCUUGAAUACAUUAGCAUGGAAUAAUAAGAUAGGACCUUGGUUCUUUUUUGUUGGUUUCUGAACAUGAGGUAAUGAUUAAUACGGAUACGUGGGGGCAUUCAUAUUUAAGCGUCAGGGGCGAAAUUCUUGGAUUUGCGAAAGACGGACUACUGCGAAAGCAUUUGCCAAGGAUGCUUUCAUUG